RNAcentral lists this ribosomal RNA (495 nucleotides) under uncultured bacterium. RNAcentral's name for it is "partial 16S ribosomal RNA". It matches the Rfam family "Bacterial small subunit ribosomal RNA", at positions 28 to 507 of the family's 1533-position model. The record is from RNAcentral.
GACGAACGCUGGCGGCGUGCCUAAUACAUGCAAGUAGAACGCUGAAGGAGGAGCUUGCUUCUCUGGAUGAGUUGCGAACGGGUGAGUAACGCGUAGGUAACCUGCCUGGUAGCGGGGGAUAACUAUUGGAAACGAUAGCUAAUACCGCAUAAUAUUGACUAUUGCAUGAUAGUCAGUUGAAAGGUGCAACUGUACCACUACCAGAUGGACCUGCGUUGUAUUAGCUAGUUGGUGGGGUAACGGCUCACCAAGGCGACGAUACAUAGCCGACCUGAGAGGGGGAUCGGCCACACUGGGACUGAGACACGGCCCAGACUCCUACGGGAGGCAGCAGUAGGGAAUCUUCGGCAAUGGACGGAAGUCUGACCGAGCAACGCCGCGUGAGUGAAGAAGGUUUUCGGAUCGUAAAGCUCUGUUGUAAGAGAAGAACGAGUGUGAGAGUGGAAAGCUCACACUGUGACGGUAUCUUACCAGAAAGGGACGGCUAACUACGUG